RNAcentral lists this ribosomal RNA (429 nucleotides) under Bacteroidota bacterium. RNAcentral's name for it is "Bacteroidetes bacterium partial 16S ribosomal RNA". It matches the Rfam family "Bacterial small subunit ribosomal RNA", at positions 355 to 776 of the family's 1533-position model. The record is from RNAcentral. Lineage: Bacteria; Pseudomonadati; Bacteroidota.
UAGGGAAUCUUCGGCAAUGGGGGGAACCCUGACCGAGCAACGCCGCGUGAGUGAAGAAGGUUUUCGGAUUGUAAAGCUCUGUUGGUAAGGAAGAACGAGAGUGAGAAUGGAAAGUUCAUACUGUGAGGUACCUUAACAAGAAAGGGACGGCUAAUUAGGUGCCACCAGCCGCGGUAAUACGUAGGUCCCGAGGGUUGUCCGGAUUUAUUGGGCGUAAAGCGAGCGAAGGCGGUUAGAUAAGUCGGAAGUUAAAGGCAGUGGCUCAACCAUGGUAGGCUUUGGAAACUGGUUAACUUGAGUGCAGAAGAGGGGGGUGGAAUUCCAUGUGUAGCGGUGAAAUGCGUAGAUAUAUGGAGGAACACCAGUGGCGAAAGCGGCUACCUGGUCUGUAACUGACGCUGAGGCUCGAAAGCGUGGGGAGCGAACAGG